CGGACGGGUGAGUAACGCGUGGGUAACCUGCCUCACACAGGGGGACAACAGCUGGAAACGGCUGCUAAUACCGCAUAACACAAGUAAUUCGCAUGAAUAACUUGCCAAAGAUUUUAUCGGUGUGAGAUGGAUCCGCGUCUGAUUAGCCAGUUGGCGGGGUAACGGCCCACCAAAGCGACGAUCAGUAGCCGACCUGAGAGGGUGACCGGCCACAUUGGGACUGAGACACGGCCCAA
This 236-nucleotide ribosomal RNA is filed under the name uncultured bacterium. RNAcentral's name for it is "partial 16S ribosomal RNA". It matches the Rfam family "Bacterial small subunit ribosomal RNA", at positions 99 to 334 of the family's 1533-position model. The record is from RNAcentral.